GAGACUUGCAGCUGGCUCGCUUCAAGUCGUGGAGGCCCAAAUAUCAGCUCCAUUGCUCCAAGCUCCUGAAUCCCAAGUCUCAGCUCCCUUGCUACUGCAGGCACCCGUGUCCCAACUCUCUGCUCCCCCUACAAGAAGUCCUUCAAACCUAUUCUUCUGGUCAAGAAGUUCUUCCAACCUUGUCACUCGGUAGUCGGUUUGAUAAGUUUCAUUUAUGGUGUUGGAUCGAGUAUCUUUCCUUAAUUAUGUCAUCCACUUAAUAGACUGGUUUGUUGUGUGUUCACCGGAGUGGCCAUAAUAUGUACUGAUUCACUAAUUUGCUAUCUG
RNAcentral lists this long non-coding RNA (327 nucleotides) under Fragaria vesca (wild strawberry). RNAcentral describes it as "long non-coding RNA (FVES_LNC003075)". Lineage: Eukaryota; Viridiplantae; Streptophyta; Magnoliopsida; Rosales; Rosaceae. The record is from RNAcentral.